This is a long non-coding RNA of Sceloporus undulatus (fence lizard), 3061 nucleotides long. RefSeq lists it as uncharacterized. The record is from RefSeq and is a predicted model, not a curated record. The transcript is spliced from 2 exons. Lineage: Eukaryota; Metazoa; Chordata; Lepidosauria; Squamata; Phrynosomatidae.
UCAUCACUGCUGCAUCUCCUCCUGUUACCUCCUGCCCCCUCCCCAUUGCCCCCAGAAGCAGAGACAUCCUUCUACACAUUAGAGCCUGGUGGCUUUCCCUUGGAGCUCAGUAGGAGAAAGGACCUCCUGUAAGACCCGAACAUCAGCUACCAGCAAGCUUGCACGUCCGUGAUGACUGCAGAAAAGCAGAGUUGACAUCUGUGUGUGCGCUUCCCCUUGAGGAUGUGUGAAACACAUGGGCUUAAGUUUUAAGUAGGCUUUUGUUUUUGUCUUUACUGGCAACUCGGGAUAAAGGGAAGGGGUGUAAUUAGCAAAGGCCUGCUUGGAGCGUUUCUGGAUUUCUUCCGCAAGACCAGUUUGGCGAAAUGGACAAGUGAAAAGGCCUCCCAAAGAUCCCUCUGAGAAGAUCAUAAACUUAUGCCAACCGAGCUACGGAAAUGAACAUCUUUGUCAAACCCCCGAAUGCUUUCAACAACAACAAAGCACAGUGGAGAUUACUAAAUAAUAAAAGAUUAGCCUCUUAUUCAAACAACAGCCAAAGCAUCCCGUGCUCCUCUCCCACAAACAAAUCAGGAUGGUGGUGUACUCUCCAUAAAAGCAAGGGAGAAAGAGAUGCCCUGUGAUCUUAGAUUUCAUCUCUGCCACUUAAAGCACAUUUGACCCACUCUGGCUGAAGCUGCAUAUGCACAAAAAUAUAAAUGCAGGUUAUCAAAUGCUAUCCGUUAUCUUAACACCAAUCAAUGGUUAUAUAGGUUUGUAACUGCCAUUCCAUCUUCUUGCAUAUUUUUGUGUUGCAUUUGAAAAGACAAUUAAAAAAACCUGAAGUGAAGUCUUCUGCCAGCCAUGUUUUCCUGCACAGAGUAGUAGACUCUUGGGGUUAGGCUUUCUUCCCAUGUAUCUCUUUGUGUACAGAUGUGUUGGGAGGAAAAGCCUUACCAUUUUCUCAAACUCAGGGAAAGUUUAAUCUGUCCAUUUUCUCCCACCCUCAUACUUGAAGUAAGGGUAAGAGCAUAAGAGUCUACACAUUAUAACAAAUGAAACUGACAAGGCUUUCCCCCAAACUAGUCAGUUUUACGGGAGAGCAGAUGAGAACAGUAAAGGAUGCAGUGGUGGGAUAAGUUAGAAGGCCAUGUGUUAGCUUCCAAGCCUAACACAAAGCAUUGUGGACUAUGAUUAUAAUUGUAGGUGGAUUCAGGAGCAUCUUCUCCCCCUGUAGUGGAGGAACUGGGAAUGGUAGUGUUUAAGUGGGGAAAGCAGAACUCCUAGUCACAUUUAUUAGCAGCAGUGGGGAGACAAUUGGGGUGUGAUAAUUCUUAUUCUAAAAUGCAUGUGUCACUGUGGCCUUAGAGAUGUGUGAAUGAUUUUACAGAUUGUGUUCUGUGGAAAGUACAUCCUUAGGGUAUAGGAAAUCUUUCCUGCAUUUCAUUGUAUACAUUAAGUUAGAAAAAAAACCUACCAAAUUCUUUUGGCUUUGGUCCCCUUUCAUCUGUUUACUAUCUCUUGAUAUGUAAUAAUGUUGUACUCUCAUUAUUCUGUUCAUCAGUGAUCAUCACAUCCUCCUGACACUCUUAGCCAAUGGGUCCUGGUGUUUUUUCAUUACAGAUGGACAAUUGAAACCAAGAAGAUGAUACUGCCCUUUCCAAUCCCAAAGACACCUAAUGGCUAAACAGGAAUUUGAAUCAAAAUUCCUGAAGGUAGUCACACCAUCCAGUCAGUUGCAUUGGAUCACUGCUCAAAUGCUUUUAUUUCCACAGUAAUGUAAACAGUUGAGGAACGUUCAGGAGGAAAUGGUUGAAGGUGUAGAUGUUGACAACAAUGUCAUAUGUAAACAGAGCAGAUGUAGUAUGUGAUUUUCCUUACAUGUAGGUUGUGGGUUUUUAAAAUCAUAAUGUCGUCUUUUUGCCCUUGGUUGAUUAUAAGCAAAGCUUAUUGAACCUUUACCUUUUAUUUUAAAACAAUGUUGACAGCUGCUGGGAGAUGAGUCUUUCCAGGUUAUUUUGUGUGAGCUUUAGCAUGCUCAGCCCCCAAGCAGUGUUCCAGUGCACCUUUAAAUGUCUAUGCAGAUCACUGCAAUCUGACUGAGUGGUUUUUCCAUUACAGAAGUCACCCUAUAUCUUCCUGCACUUAAGGGCUGACUCAGCCAUGGAUGUUCAUCACUUGACUACUACAAGAUCUGUUGCGAAUGUGAAUGAGGUAACAUGCAGAAUACCUUUCAUAUCCUGUCAUUCCCAACUGCUCCAGGCCAAUCAACUCACAUAUUCACAUGCUAGUAAUUAAGUAAUAUAUUUGCAUGUACCAACUAGUGUACAGUAGUGAUGAAAUCUGAGUGAAUAUGCAGAUAAGCUUGAGUAUACAGUGACAAAGAACUAUAAAUGAAAGCAGGUGGCUUCUCUGAACAUAUAAGAAAACAAAAACUUUAAUGUGACUCUUUGUUUAGAGGGGAAUAUUUCAGGUCAGUAUAUUUGUCAUGGCAGUGGCCCAUGGAUUUGUAGGCUUGUGUGUAAAGUGGAAUAACUAUGACAGCCAAGAUGUCCAGAUGUCCUCCUUUUCCAGGGUGUGUCCUACAUUUCAACCUUCUCCAGCAGAAAUUUCAAAGUGUCCUCCAUUUUGAGCAGGACUAAGCAGCAUGAAUUACAUUGAUAUCAGUGUUUUUAGCUUUUGGUUUGUAAUGUUCUACAUUUUUCUUGAAUGUCUUACAUUUUGAAUUCCUUGUCCUCUAUGAUUCGGACAUCUGGUCACCCUGGACCUGGUGCAGGAUUGCUGCAAGGCUGAAUGAGAGGGAGGUUGUAGAUAAGAUUGGAUGCUAAAAAGCAGUGAAAGCUGGGGAACUGGGUGGAAUUCAUUUCAAGGAAAAGUUCACAGCAUUUACCCAAAAGUACAAAGGUCUAGGAUCAUAUAAUGGAAAGAAAUAGCCUUGAGUGUCAAUUUUGGGAAAAGAAAUUUAGUAAUAAUAAUUCACUGUUGAAAAUAAAUUUAUUGUAGUAUGAGUGUGAAGAGUGUAUGUGUAGGAUGUAAAUCUGUCAUUUUGUUGCAUUGCUAAAUAAAUAUUUUGCAAUAUAAA